AAGACCAGGAAGGCUGUCCAGCCUCUGGGUACCCCAACGUGCUUUGAGCCUCGGUGUUGUCAUCUGGAGGAUUUUUUUGUCAGGAGGGAUAUGAGAUGGCAAUGUGUGACAGUGUCAAGCACAUCGAGAACGCUUUGGAAACACAGGCUGAAUCAGAAGAUGACAGGCGUCCCCUGGUCCUUCAUCCUUUCUUCUACCUCCAACCUGGCCUUGAGGUCCAAGUUUCUACCACUUCAGUGUCUGGUAUUCCAAUAGGUAAGAGGGGACACAAGACUUUCAACCACGUGGGGGAAAGAAAGCAUAGGCUGCAAGUAAAUGGACAGAGAGGUCCUUGGGUCAGGAACUGGAUUUCGAGUUCCAGUCCACUGUCGUUACAUGUGAAUUAUCAGGCCUGGGAUGGCACUAAUAACACAUGUAUCUGUGAAAGAUCAGGACUUUCAUGCUGAUCCUGAAUAAUGUGAAGUCAAAAGUAAAAAUUUGGACUAUGUAAAAGUAAAACUAGCUUUGUUAUUUAUGUUUCAUUACCUAAGUCAGAAGAGUUGUAUGGAAUUAUAUAUCAGGUUGACAUGAAUAAUUCUUUAUUAACAGCACAUUCUGCCUUCGUAUGUUCUUAUAAUGAACUAGAAGGCAUAGAGGAAAAGAUCAGAAAGACCCAGCCCUCUUGUUUAUUAAUGAUUAUCUUGGUACCUUACUUUCUCUGUGCCUGUUUCCUUAACUGUAAAAUAAUACUUGCCUCAUUUCUCUGACAGGGUUGAUGUGAGAAUCAAGACAUGACGUCGGUGAAGACGCUUUGGAAACAGCCAAGUAAGUGUCUUCCACACAGAGGUACCAUUACCAUCAGCUGUCUGAGGAUGGCCGUCGUGCAGUCCAGGUCAUUAGCUGCCAUCUGCCCUCUUACCUUCCUCCUUGCUCACUUAGGUGUCCCUCAAGGACCUAACUCUAUUUUCACCAUACGGAAGCAAAAGGUCAUGUAGGCAUUAACAUGUACUAAUUCCUAUCAGUUCUAAAGGACAGGCUGUUCUCUCAGUGUGCUUGAGACCCCUUAUCACCAAGCACCGGGAGGAAGAAGGGAGGGUAGUAACAAGGCUUAUUUCCACCAGAUGGUUGAUUUUAUUUAAAAAAAGAGAAAGUUUUAGGUUUUUUUUUUUUUUUUUUUGGGUAAAGGCACUGGGAUGGGCUCAGUGGAAUGCAGCAUCGUGCAUCUAAAAUAAUCUCAGCUUUGGAGUCUGGCCGACUUUGAGUUCAGGUCCAGACCUGGCCAUUUACUUAGCUACGCAGCUUUGGCAAGUAAUGCUUGCUCUGAGCUUCAAGUUCCUCUUCUGUAUUAGGGGCUAUUAUAUAUUUUGGAGCAUUAUUGAAAGGAUUGUAAUUAAUGCUUGAGUGACUGGCAUAUGAGCGCAGAAGAGAUGACAGAUGAGCAACAAGG
Molecule: long non-coding RNA, 1426 nt
Organism: Rhinolophus ferrumequinum (greater horseshoe bat)
Lineage: Eukaryota; Metazoa; Chordata; Mammalia; Chiroptera; Rhinolophidae
Exons: 3
Source: RefSeq, a predicted model, not a curated record